This is a long non-coding RNA of Branchiostoma floridae (Florida lancelet), 361 nucleotides long. RefSeq lists it as uncharacterized. The record is from RefSeq and is a predicted model, not a curated record. NCBI's taxonomy places the organism in Eukaryota, Metazoa, Chordata, Leptocardii, Amphioxiformes, Branchiostomatidae. The transcript has 2 exons.
GUCCGGUACGGGGGGACCGCUUACUUGUUUGUCCGGCUACCUUACACCUUUACACCGCCUGAAAACCGCCGACUUGUCACCUCUACGAGAUGAAAGACACCGAGACCACCGGUGGGUCAAAGGCGACAACAAAGAUAUCGUCUGCCCACGGGGUGUCUGUACUCUCCAGCGGUUCCAAUGCCUUCAAACGUACAGCAACCUUCUUCUUGUGGGGUCCGUCCUCGUAGGAUACCCUGUUCUGAGCACUUGACAGAAAAGAACGAGGGGACGACGUUAUCUGCAUGACGUAAAGUUGUCCAGGUGUACCUCCGAGCAUGCAGAAAGGAUCUGUUUCCUUAUGAUAUAGACCAGAAUACUGUGA